UCCUCAUUAUUUUUCUUUUCUUAUUUUUUUUGAUUUUAUUAAUUUUUUUAAUCUUUUAAAAUAGGAGUGGCAAUUUUAAUCGAUUCAUCGUGUAUCUUAUCUAAUUCGAUUCGAAUGAGGUGAGUUUUAUCCAAUUCAAUUAGAAUUUGAGACAGGUAUAGAUUUAAAAAAAAUAAAUUAUGUGGUAAAAAAGUUGUUAAGCACUGUCGAUACGGAUACGAUAGCUUAUUGCGUUAAUCAACAAUGAACAUUGAAAUAUGAUCGGAUUUUCAACCGCAUCUCUCCUUUUUUUUUUCCCAUGAGGUAAGAUGAUCCAUGGAUUUGAUCCAAGACUGGGUGGAAGGGAGAGUUCAUGCCUCUUAAUAAUCAUUUUCAUCCAGCCA
Molecule: long non-coding RNA, 383 nt
Filed under: Elaeis guineensis (African oil palm)
Lineage: Eukaryota; Viridiplantae; Streptophyta; Magnoliopsida; Arecales; Arecaceae
Description: long non-coding RNA (EGUI_LNC080485)
Source: RNAcentral